Molecule: unclassified non-coding RNA, 1898 nt
Filed under: Homarus americanus (American lobster)
Lineage: Eukaryota; Metazoa; Arthropoda; Malacostraca; Decapoda; Nephropidae
Description: n6-adenosine-methyltransferase subunit METTL3-like, transcript variant X2
Source: RNAcentral
CGGUCAAGGCGUGUUGACGUUUGUGUCUGUGUGUGUGUGUGAGGUGUUGAUGCUGAGUGAGUCUUGAUAGUCCUGUAACUCUGAUAAGUAUGGGGGACGAGACUUGGGCUAAUAUUCAGCUCGUGAAGAGUAAGAGGGAGAGUUUUAGAGAGAAAAUUAAAAAACGAAAAGCGGAGAGAGAGACCAUCCUGAGUUCAGUUGCGGGAGGCGGCAGCAGUAGCCCAAGUUCAUUUAUUCCUCCUGUGGACCCCAGUACCCCAGCUCCUGUUGUUCCUGCAGCAACACCAAAUGGAAAUGAUGACUCCAGUUUAGAAUGUGCCUUGUUAGAGUGUUUAAAUGGGGCCUUGCCGCCUGUACAGUCGGCACAGCUUUCCCAGACUUUGUCAACAAAACUAAGAAGAAAUUUACAACCAAAAGUCAUUGAUAAUCUCUUGCAAAAAUUUGCUUACAAAGAACUUAUAAGCAUUACACAGGAGGUUGGGGAUGGCCGCACAACCAUAACGGUGACUGCUGUUCAACACAACCGAGUGACCGCGGUCCUGGGAGCUGAACAUAGGGAAAAGAAGCUUCAGCCUAUUGCUACAACACAACAAGGUGAAAGUCCAGUGGUGGAGAAAAUUACUGUCUCAUCUGAUGAACCGCCCGCGAAGGUUUUACGGGAAGACAAGGAGAAUAAGAAUGACAAGGAUAAAAGAAAGGAAACUAGAGAGGAUGAUGUCAUGAGCCUGUUGUCAGCGCAGAGCAUACGUGAGCGCGAGACAAAGAAAGUGGGCGAAGAGAUAAUGGAACUACUGAGUAAACCCACAGCCAAAGAACAGAGUAUUGCUCUGCGUUUUAAAUCUCAGGGAGGAGCAAAAGUUCAAGAGUUUUGUCCACACGGCACCAAAGAGGAGUGUGAGAGAGCGACAAAGAAGGCCGGCCCACAGUGCGGUCGACUCCACUUCCGCAAGAUCAUCCAGAAGCACACUGACGAAUCCUUAGGAGACUGUUCCUUCCUCAACACCUGUUUCCACAUGGACACUUGUCGAUAUGUUCAUUAUGAGGUGGACUAUACAGGGGUGUCCGAGCAGCAGCAGCAGCAACAGGAGCAGCCCACCUCCAUCAUCCUGCCUUUGGAGCGUCCACGCCCAGAUGAGAGGACCAUUCUAUUCCCUCCUCAGUGGAUACAGUGUGAUCUUAGGUUUCUAGAUAUGUCUAUACUAGGGAAAUUUGCUGUUAUUAUGGCAGAUCCUCCGUGGGAUAUCCACAUGGAGCUGCCUUAUGGCACAAUGUCCGAUGACGAAAUGAGACAACUAAACAUUCCCAUAAUGCAAGACGAGGGGCUCAUAUUUUUGUGGGUCACAGGCAGAGCGAUGGAGCUUGGUCGUGAGUGUCUUCAGCUCUGGGGCUAUGAGCGAGUAGAUGAAAUAAUUUGGGUGAAAACAAAUCAAUUGCAACGAAUUAUCCGUACAGGCAGGACGGGUCACUGGCUGAACCACGGCAAAGAACAUUGUUUAGUUGGCAUGAAAGGGAACCCGAAGAUAAACCGUGGUCUUGAUGGAGAUGUCAUCGUAGCUGAAGUUCGAGCCACUAGCCACAAGCCAGAUGAAAUUUACGGCAUAAUCGAGCGACUUUCGCCAGGCACACGAAAACUGGAGCUGUUUGGACGACCCCAUAAUGUACAACCAAACUGUUUACUUAACUAAGGAGUCCACACUGGCGAGAGUCAGCCAGGGGAACGAGGAGAGUUUCCUGCGGAAGCGACGUGUCCCCUCCUCCCGGUCACAGUACACAGCCAAGUGGACAGGGCCGCUCUACAGGAACUUCCCCAGUUGUUAUAUAACCACACUACACUACAUAAGGAAGUACAAUACUGGGCUGGGAGGAUGUGCGCGGAGACAUCAACUGGCCCCCCGACG